This is a long non-coding RNA of Cygnus atratus (black swan), 295 nucleotides long. RefSeq lists it as uncharacterized. NCBI's taxonomy places the organism in Eukaryota, Metazoa, Chordata, Aves, Anseriformes, Anatidae. The transcript has 3 exons. The record is from RefSeq and is a predicted model, not a curated record.
UCUAAAGCUUCUUUGGGAGUUAGACCGUGCAUUUGUGCAUGGAAGAUGUGCUUCAAAUGUCAAGCACACAAAACGAUUUCAAGACAAGAGGCCUUUGUCCCACAGAAAAGGAGAACACAUCAGAGGGAAGAAGUGCACAUUCUGCCAACUGCAUGCAGAAGAGCAAUUUCUGUGAAGUUACCCUGCCCCAUUUGACUGUCUGCAACAACAUCUAUGAGCUAGUGGCUCAUACAACUUGUGUGCUACGUACCUUGUAUUGUUUUAGACUUACCUGGCAAUAAAAUGGUGGGGUUUU